AGCUUUCUGUAUCUGCUGAGAUUUCGUCACGCACCAGACUACAAGGGCAGUUUAGACUUUCAAGAUAAGUGAAGCG
This 76-nucleotide microRNA precursor is filed under the name Schistosoma haematobium. Its description in RNAcentral is "mir-3492 microRNA precursor family". It matches the Rfam family "mir-3492 microRNA precursor family". Lineage: Eukaryota; Metazoa; Platyhelminthes; Trematoda; Strigeidida; Schistosomatidae. The record is from Rfam by way of RNAcentral.